CCUGCCAGGUGAGAGGAGGAAGCGGGGGUUUUCUUACCUGUCCGGGAGCGGGAGAGGCGGGGUGCGAUGAUGCCUUCAGGGACGAGGGGGAAAACCAGGCUUCAGCGUCCAAGCGUCAAAUGCAGCCUUGAAAACUUGGUCAAAAAAAGCCCAGGAUACCUUUCAUCUACUACUGAACCUCUGGGAGCCUGACAGAGCGGAGAACCAGAGACCGGACACGGGCCCCCAGUCUUCACACCGUCUACGGUGACGUCUGUGAGUCCGCUGGUGAAGACCCUCAUACACAGACUGUCAGUGCCUCAAACAUACAGGACGAUCAGGACACACGCUGGCAGACUGAGGAGCAGCAGCCUCUAUGUCCCCUCCAUGUUUUUGUAAUCUCAGUUAUUACAGUUUUGUGUGUACACUGUCUUAUUGUAUUUUGAUGCUUUGCAUUUUUCUGUAUUGCUAAGGACAAAUAAAGGCUGAAAUAACAAUCA
Betta splendens (Siamese fighting fish) is the source of this 479-nucleotide long non-coding RNA. RefSeq lists it as uncharacterized. The transcript is spliced from 2 exons. The record is from RefSeq and is a predicted model, not a curated record. Lineage: Eukaryota; Metazoa; Chordata; Actinopteri; Anabantiformes; Osphronemidae.